GCGAGCUGGUGCACAGUGCUGUUACGACAGAGGAAACUCCUCUCUCCUUGCAGAAAUUGUGGUCCGGAGAUGGGCAAUCAGAGAUGGUUGGCAACAGAGCAGAAAAAAAUCUCUCUUGGAGUGUACGAUGAGGACAAAAUCUGAGGUUUCUGAGAAAAGAGAAUGAGAAAUCUGACCCACAAGGAGCAAAGCCAAACAGAACUAUAGAAUUCUGCAUCUGGUUCAGGUAGGCUGCAAAGCGGAAUAAUGUGUAAAACAGAAAGAGGGUUACGGCCAGCACGC
RNAcentral lists this RNase P RNA (282 nucleotides) under Candidatus Nitrosopelagicus sp. RNAcentral describes it as "RNase P RNA component". It matches the Rfam family "Archaeal RNase P". From Rfam's summary of the family: Ribonuclease P (RNase P) is a ubiquitous endoribonuclease, found in archaea, bacteria and eukarya as well as chloroplasts and mitochondria. Its best characterised activity is the generation of mature 5'-ends of tRNAs by cleaving the 5'-leader elements of precursor-tRNAs. Lineage: Archaea; Thermoproteati; Nitrososphaerota. The record is from RNAcentral.